Molecule: ribosomal RNA, 449 nt
Filed under: uncultured bacterium
Lineage: Bacteria
Description: bacterial SSU rRNA
Rfam family: Bacterial small subunit ribosomal RNA
Source: RNAcentral
UAUCCAGACUCCUACGGGAGGCAGCAGUGGGGGAUAUUGCACAAUGGGGGGAACCCUGAUGCAGCGACGCCGCGUGGGUGAAGGAGUGCUUCGGCAUGUAAAGCCCUAUCGGCAGGGAAGAAGCAAGACGGUACCUGACUAAGAAGCCCCGGCUAACUACGUGCCAGCAGCCGCGGUAAUACGUAGGGGGCGAGCGUUAUCCGGAUUCACUGGGUGGAAAGGGAGCGUAGACGGCCAUGCAAGCCAGGGGUGAAAGCCCGGGGCCCCACCCCGGGACUGCCCUUGGAACUGCAUGGCUGGAGUGCGGGAGGGGGAGGCGGAAUUCCUGGUGUAGCGGUGAAAUGCGUAGAUAUCAGGAGGAACACCGGCGACGAAGGCGGCCUGCUGGACCGCGACUGACGUUGAGGCUCGAAAGCGUGGGGAGCAAACAGGAUUAGAUACCCCAGUAA